GCCUGGCUGGCUUAGCUGGUAUAGCAUGUGACUCUAGCUCUCAGGGUCUUGAGUUCAAGCCCCACGUUGGGCA
This 73-nucleotide transfer RNA is filed under the name Ailuropoda melanoleuca (giant panda). It matches the Rfam family "tRNA". Rfam says of the family: Transfer RNA (tRNA) molecules are approximately 80 nucleotides in length. Their secondary structure includes four short double-helical elements and three loops (D, anti-codon, and T loops). The record is from Rfam by way of RNAcentral. Lineage: Eukaryota; Metazoa; Chordata; Mammalia; Carnivora; Ursidae.